GAUGAACGCUGACAGAAUGCUUAACACAUGCAAGUCUUUGGCGAAGCUGUGCUUGCACAGCCUAGCCAAGGCGGACGGGUGAGUAACGCGUCAGGAACUUGCCCUGCAGUCAGGGAUAACAGACGGAAACGACUGAUAAGACCUGGUAAAGUCAGGCGGACUCAUGUCCAGCCUGAUGAAAAGAGAUGCUGCAGGAGAGCCUUGCGUCCUAUUAGCUUGUUGGUGGGGUAACGGCCCACCAAGGCGAUGAUAGGUAGCCGGCCUGAGAGGGUGGACGGCCACAAGGGGACUGAGAUACGGCCCUUACUCCUACGGGAGGCAGCAGCGGGGAAUAUUGGACAAUGGGGGCAACCCUGAUCCAGCAAUUCUGUGUGCACGAUGAAGGUUUUCGGAUUGUAAAGUGCUUUCAGCAGGGAAGAAAAAAAUGACGGUACCUGCAGAAGAAGCGACGGCUAAAUACGUG
This 463-nucleotide ribosomal RNA is filed under the name uncultured bacterium. Its description in RNAcentral is "partial 16S ribosomal RNA". It matches the Rfam family "Bacterial small subunit ribosomal RNA", at positions 28 to 507 of the family's 1533-position model. The record is from RNAcentral.